GCAGUCGCCGCGGUAAUACGGAGGAUCCAAGCGUUAUCCGGAAUUAUUGGGUUUAAAGGGUCCGUAGGCGGUCUUGUAAGUCAGUGGUGAAAGCCCAUCGCUCAACGGUGGAACGGCCAUUGAUACUGCAGGACUUGAAUUAUUGGGAAGUAACUAGAAUAUGUAGUGUAGCGGUGAAAUGCUUAGAGAUUACAUGGAAUACCAAUUGCGAAGGCAGGUUACUACCAAUUGAUUGACGCUGAUGGACGAAAGCGUGGGUAGCGAACAGGAUUAGAUACCCCCGUAGUCCCUGUCUCUUAUAC
This 302-nucleotide ribosomal RNA is filed under the name uncultured bacterium. RNAcentral's name for it is "partial 16S ribosomal RNA". It matches the Rfam family "Bacterial small subunit ribosomal RNA", at positions 508 to 807 of the family's 1533-position model. The record is from RNAcentral.